Long non-coding RNA from Pogoniulus pusillus (Red-fronted tinkerbird), 1842 nucleotides. RefSeq lists it as uncharacterized. The transcript has 3 exons. Lineage: Eukaryota; Metazoa; Chordata; Aves; Piciformes; Lybiidae. The record is from RefSeq and is a predicted model, not a curated record.
UGAGCCUCCUUACUUAGGCUAGGAUCCUUUCUGCUCACUUGUAAAACUGUAAAAAGGGCAGGACUAAAUUGUUAUGUUCUCUAUCCCUUUUCCCAUAUCAUCCUAAGGAAAAUCUUCCUGGAAUCCAAAUACUUCUCUUUUUUAAAUGACAUUUGUAUGACCCAUUAGCCAAAGGUCUUGUCAAUUCCAUGAACUCAACUUAGAGACGCUCACAAAGGAAGAUUCAUUGUCUGUUUUAAGCUGAAAAGUACAUCUUGUCUGCUCAAUUGAGCCUUGACAUUACCCUUUUUAUUUCAGGUGAUGAUUUACUCUCUGAACCUGUCUGUUACAAUUGCCUUAAUUCUAUGCUGUAGAAGUGCUAUUGUAUUAUAAUAGAGGCUUAUAAACAAGUUAAUCAUUUGAGGUUGCAAAUUAAGAGAUUUAUUGUAUUACCUCUUUGCUGUGAUACCAGAACUGCUGCCAAUCUUUGCUUCUCCUAUUUUGGGGUAUUCCCUCUUCUUGAAUAUGUCAAUUUCUGUUGAGAAUUACUGCUAGUAUUUACCAUUUCAAGAGUCUGCUUUGCAAGCAAUGACACUGUGUGAGGGAAAUCUGGGUUCCUAGCCAUCCAUAUUGACUUCAAAUGUAUUGGCACAUGAACUGCUCAUCUCUCUUUCUUUCCUUGUGCUGAUAGCACAGAAGUAAAAACACCGAAUUGCAAGGGAAUUUGUACUUUUGUUUAACUCUGUGGAGUGUCCUGUGUUGAUGCUAAACAUGUAAGCCCACUUUAACCAAGAGGUCAGAACUUAGAGCACAUUUUAAGAUGAAGGUCUAAAAGCUCUCUGGAUGAAAAGAAUACAGGUUAUCUUCACUGGUGAAUAAAGAGUGACAAUUAAAGGGUGCUGCCUAACAGAUGGAGAGUUCUGAAGUGCUACAUCCCUGUGUGGCCUCUUCCCGAUUCCACCAAGCAGCCUGCUACUACCAGCCAGCAUAGGAAUGGGUUUGUCUGCCUGAGGGUACAAUAAUGUAUCAAGUGCAACUGAACUGUGGAAAGCAGCACCUUUUUAUUCAGAGCCUGUUGUAUGUGGGUGUCUGUCCUACAAGGAAAAGCUGAGAGACUUUUCAGCCUGGAGAAGAGUGGGAUCAGGAGGUAUUACAGCUGAGGACACAAAUUGGAUGGACUCAGGCUGGUACCCAGCGACAGGACCAGAGGCAGUGGGUGCAAACUAAGCCACAGGAGGUUCCCUCUGAAUAUCAGGAAACGUAUUUGUACUGUGAAUAUAACCUCAUACUGACACAGAUUAAGAAUGAAGACUACACAACCUUCCUGGAUAGAGAUAUUCAAAAGCCAUCUGGAUACAGCCCUGGGCAGCUGGCCCUAGGAGGUCCUGCUUGAGCAGGGACCAGAUGACCUCCAGAGGUCCCUUCCAACCACUCUGUGAUUCUACAGCUCUGUGAUUUAUCACCUACAAACUGCUGUGUUACAACUCGGGAGCUAAAUUGCUCUAAUUUUAAGAGUCGUUAACUCUGAGAGGCUGAGAUGGCUAACGGAGGAAUCUAGAUUCUGCUCUUAGUUGUGCCUAUUAAAGAUGAUACCAAAAUACCACCAAGAGAACCAAUUAGGGGCAACAGAACUCUAUUUGCAUUAGCCUGAUGGUAUCAGAGUGGAACCUGUAGGGCUACCUGAUGCUUGAGAGAGCAUGAUCUGUAAUUAAUGGGAGUGAUGCCCUUAGGAGAAAACCUUAGCAGAACAGCCCUCAUCCAUAACACACCAAAAAAGGAACCACAUAGCUUUCAGAGGCCCAUCUUGCUUUCUGAAUAUUUCUUACUUCUAAGCUAAGUACCAGUUACCCUGAGCCACUGGAG